CAGUCGCCGCGGUAAUACGAAGGAUGCAAGCGUUAAUCGGAAUUACUGGGCGUAAAGCGUGCGUAGGCGGUGAGUUAAGUCUGCUGUGAAAUCCCCGGGCUCAACCUGGGAAUGGCAGUGGAUACUGGCUCGCUAGAGUGUGUCAGAGGAUGGUGGAAUUCCCGGUGUAGCGGUGAAAUGCGUAGAGAUCGGGAGGAACAUCAGUGGCGAAGGCGGCCAUCUGGGACAACACUGACGCUGAGGCACGAAAGCGUGGGGAGCAAACAGGAUUAGAUACCCGAGUAGUCCCUGUCUCUUAUAC
Molecule: ribosomal RNA, 301 nt
Filed under: uncultured bacterium
Lineage: Bacteria
Description: partial 16S ribosomal RNA
Rfam family: Bacterial small subunit ribosomal RNA
Source: RNAcentral